Molecule: unclassified non-coding RNA, 248 nt
Filed under: uncultured fungus
Lineage: Eukaryota; Fungi
Description: partial contains 5.8S ribosomal RNA, internal transcribed spacer 2, and large subunit ribosomal RNA
Rfam family: 5.8S ribosomal RNA (bases 1-52)
Source: RNAcentral
AACGCACAUUGCGCCCCUCGGUAUUCCGAGGGGCAUAUCUGUUCGAGCGUCAUUAACACCUUCAAGCCUGUGCUUGGUUGUGGGCGGUCGCCUUCCCCCGGGUGGGCGUGCCCGAAAAACAUUGGCGGUCCGGCGUGGAUUCGAGCGUAGUAAAUGUUUCCCGCUUGGAGAAAACGCCCGGGUCGGCCAGCAACCCAACCCUUUUAAGAAUUGACCUCGGAUCAGAUAAGGAUACCCGCUGAACUUAA